This 218-nucleotide ribosomal RNA is filed under the name uncultured bacterium. RNAcentral describes it as "partial 16S ribosomal RNA". It matches the Rfam family "Bacterial small subunit ribosomal RNA", at positions 1275 to 1500 of the family's 1533-position model. The record is from RNAcentral.
UCGAAAGCCUGUCCCAGUUCGGACUGGAGUCUGCAACCCGACUCCACGAAGUUGGAUUCGCUAGUAAUCGCGCAUCAGCCAUGGCGCGGUGAAUACGUUCCCGGGCCUUGUACACACCGCCCGUCAAGCCAUGGGAGCCGGGGGCGCCUGAAGUCCGGGACCGCAAGGACCGGCCUAGGGCGAAACUGGUAACUGGGGCUAAGUCGUAACAAGGUAAC